Molecule: ribosomal RNA, 482 nt
Filed under: uncultured bacterium
Lineage: Bacteria
Description: partial 16S ribosomal RNA
Rfam family: Bacterial small subunit ribosomal RNA
Source: RNAcentral
AUUGAACGCUGGCGGCAUGCUUUACACAUGCAAGUCGAACGGCAGCGCGGGGCAACCUGGCGGCGAGUGGCGAACGGGUGAGUAAUACAUCGGAACGUACCCAGAAGUGGGGGAUAACGUAGCGAAAGUUACGCUAAUACCGCAUACGAUCUACGGAUGAAAGUAGGGGACCGCAAGGCCUUAUGCUUUUGGAGCGGCCGAUAUCUGAUUAGCUAGUUGGUGAGGUAAAGGCUCACCAAGGCGACGAUCAGUAGCUGGUCUGAGAGGACGACCAGCCACACUGGAACUGAGACACGGUCCAGACUCCUACGGGAGGCAGCAGUGGGGAAUUUUGGACAAUGGGCGCAAGCCUGAUCCAGCAAUGCCGCGUGAGUGAAGAAGGCCUUCGGGUUGUAAAGCUCUUUUGUCAGGGAAGAAACGGUAGAGGCUAAUAUCCUUUGCUAAUGACGGUACCUGAAGAAUAAGCACCGGCUAACUACGUG